UCUCUGGAGGACUAGUGGUUAGGCCUCAGUCCUCUCAACACCACGGCCCGGGUUCAAUUCCUGGCCAGGGAU
Molecule: non-coding RNA, 72 nt
Organism: Pangasius djambal
Lineage: Eukaryota; Metazoa; Chordata; Actinopteri; Siluriformes; Pangasiidae
Source: the annotation of a GenBank genome assembly